Molecule: unclassified non-coding RNA, 405 nt
Filed under: soil metagenome
Description: partial contains 5.8S ribosomal RNA and internal transcribed spacer 2
Rfam family: 5.8S ribosomal RNA (bases 1-121)
Source: RNAcentral
GAUGAAGAACGUAGCAAAAUGCGAUACUUGGUGUGAAUUGCAGAAUCCCAUGAAUCAUCGUGGUUUUAAUGCAAGUUGCACCCGAAGCCAUCCGGCUAAGGGCACGUCUGCCUGGGCAUCACGCAUCUCAUUGCCACCCCCUCCUCCCAAUCCUCCAGGAUGCCGGCUGGCAGCGGGGCGGCGGAUGCUGGCCUCCCGUUCCCUCGCAGUGCGGCUGGCCCAAAUGUAAGCCCCUGGACAAGGGACGUCACGACUUAAGGUGGUUGGACAUGUUUGUUUGUUUCAUUCAUUGAGGAGCCGUGAUGGCCCCCGGGGCCCCCUCUUCGAUCCCAUUGAGAGCAGUGACCUCCGACUGCGACCAGGCAGAAUCACCCGCUAAGUUUAAGCAUAUCAAUAAGCGGAGGA